Molecule: transfer RNA, 57 nt
Filed under: Coemansia sp. RSA 2052
Lineage: Eukaryota; Fungi; Kickxellomycota; Kickxellomycetes; Kickxellales; Kickxellaceae
Description: tRNA-Thr
Rfam family: tRNA
About the family: Transfer RNA (tRNA) molecules are approximately 80 nucleotides in length. Their secondary structure includes four short double-helical elements and three loops (D, anti-codon, and T loops). Further hydrogen bonds mediate the characteristic L-shaped molecular structure. tRNAs have two regions of fundamental functional importance: the anti-codon, which is responsible for specific mRNA codon recognition, and the 3' end, to which the tRNAs corresponding amino acid is attached (by aminoacyl-tRNA synthetases). tRNAs cope with the degeneracy of the genetic code in two manners: having more than one tRNA (with a specific anti-codon) for a particular amino acid; and 'wobble' base-pairing, i.e. permitting non-standard base-pairing at the 3rd anti-codon position.
Source: RNAcentral
UGGCUCAGCUGGCAGAGCGUCUGCCUAGUAAGCAGAAGGUCACCAGUUCGAUUCUGG